GUGAAUCAUCGAAUUUUUGAACGCGAAUUGCACUCUCUGGUAUUCCGGAGAGUAUGCCUGUUUGAGGGUCAGUUUAAAUAAAAAUCGGUGUGGUUGCUGCCUUUCGUGGUGACGCACGGGAUUUGGGUCGUCUUGUCUUCGGUUAAGUGACCUAAAAUUCUGCAUGAUUUUUUUCGAAUGUAUUUAAAUGAUUUUUCGUUUGUUUGUGUUAUCGAAUUUUCGGGGUGGUCAUCC
This 234-nucleotide unclassified non-coding RNA is filed under the name Glomus sp. Its description in RNAcentral is "partial contains 5.8S ribosomal RNA and internal transcribed spacer 2". The stretch from base 1 to 71 matches the Rfam family "5.8S ribosomal RNA", at positions 84 to 154 of the family's 154-position model. Lineage: Eukaryota; Fungi; Glomeromycota; Glomeromycetes; Glomerales; Glomeraceae. The record is from RNAcentral.